This 469-nucleotide ribosomal RNA is filed under the name uncultured bacterium. Its description in RNAcentral is "partial 16S ribosomal RNA". It matches the Rfam family "Bacterial small subunit ribosomal RNA", at positions 28 to 507 of the family's 1533-position model. The record is from RNAcentral.
GACGAACGCUGGCGGCGUGCUUAACACAUGCAAGUCGAACGGAAAGGCCCUGCUUGCAGGGUGCUCGAGUGGCGAACGGGUGAGUAACACGUGGGUGAUCUGCCCCUUACUUUGGGAUAAGCCUGGGAAACUGGGUCUAAUACUGGAUAGGACCAUGCUGUAGGUGGUGUGGUGGAAAGAUUAGUUUCGGUAAGGGAUGAGCUCGCGGCCUAUCAGCUUGUUGGUGGGGUAAUGGCCUACCAAGGCGUCGACGGGUAGCCGGCCUGAGAGGGUGGACGGCCACAUUGGGACUGAGGUGCGGCCCAGACUACUACGGGGGGCAGCAGUGGGGAAUAUUGCACAAUGGGCGCAAGCCGGAUGCAGCGACGCCGCGUGGGGGAUGACGGCCUUCGGGUUGUAAACUCCUUUCAGCCAUGACGAAGCCCUUGUGGUGACGGUAGUGGUAGAAGAAGCACCGGCUAACUACGUG